This 243-nucleotide ribosomal RNA is filed under the name uncultured bacterium. RNAcentral describes it as "partial 16S ribosomal RNA". It matches the Rfam family "Bacterial small subunit ribosomal RNA", at positions 63 to 334 of the family's 1533-position model. The record is from RNAcentral.
CGAACGAAGCCUUCGGGCUUAGUGGCGGACGGGUGAGUAACGCGUGGGAAUAUGCCUUUCGGUGCGGAAUAGCCUUGGGGAACUGAGAGUAAUACCGCAUACGCCCUUUGGGGGAAAGAUUUAUCGCCGAAAGAUUAGCCCGCGUUGGAUUAGGUAGUUGGUGGGGUAAUGGCCUACCAAGCCGACGAUCCAUAGCUGGUUUGAGAGGAUGAUCAGCCACACUGGGACUGAGACACGGCCCAG